RNAcentral lists this non-coding RNA (45 nucleotides) under Schistosoma curassoni. The record is from RNAcentral. Lineage: Eukaryota; Metazoa; Platyhelminthes; Trematoda; Strigeidida; Schistosomatidae.
AUCCAGCUAACGAGUUCCAAAUAGGACGAAAUGUGCAUCCUAGAU